UCUUUAACAACUAAGGUUCCU
This 21-nucleotide non-coding RNA is filed under the name Arabidopsis thaliana (thale cress). Lineage: Eukaryota; Viridiplantae; Streptophyta; Magnoliopsida; Brassicales; Brassicaceae. The record is from RNAcentral.